AUGGGCAUGGGGUGGAAAGUUCUGACCGAUGUGAAGCCAUACCUGGCGAUGGUGCUGCUGCAGGUGGGGUUCGCCGGGAUGUACAUCAUCGCCGUGGCGUCCCUCAAGGCCGGGAUGAGCCACUUCGUCCUCGUCGUCUACCGUAACCUCGUCGCCACCGCCGUCAUGACGCCCUUCGCCCUCUACUUCGAGAGGGGACGGAGGCCAAAGAUGACAACCAGCAUCGUCCUCAAGAUCAUGGGGCUCGCAAUCCUCGAGCCCGUGAUUGACCAGAACCUCUACUUCUUGGGCGCGAAGCUGACCUCGGCGGGAUUCGCGACGGCGCUCCUCAACACCCUCCCGGCCAUCACCUUCUUGCUGGCCCUCAUCCUGCGCAUGGAGAAGGUGCGGCUGCGCAGCCUGCACAGCCAGGCCAAGAUCGCUGGCACGGUCCUCACGGUGGCCGGCGCCGUGCUGAUGAUGCUUUACCACGGCCCCGCCAUGCAGUUCCCGUGGACCAAGGGACAGCACGACGCCACUGCCGCCGUUGGCGCCGUCGCCCCGCGGGACUGGCUGAAAGGGACCAUGAUGCUCAUCGGCUCCUGCAUGGUCUGGUCGUGCUUCUUCAUUCUCCAGUCCAGCACGCUGCGGAGCUACCCGGCGGAGCUCUCCGUCACGGCGCUCAUCUGCGGCAUGGGCUCGCUGAUGAGCGCCGCCGUCGCCCUCGUCGCUGAGCGCGCCAACACACAGGCCUGGGUUAUCGGCUUCGAUAACCGCCUCUUGACCGUGGUCUACGCCGGCAUAGUGUGCUCCGGCGUGGCCUACUACUUGCAGGGCGUCGUGUCGAGGCAAAGGGGCCCAGUGUUCGUCACGGCAUUCAACCCGCUCUGCAUGAUCAUUACCGCAGUCAUGGGCUCCAUCAUUCUAAAGGAGGAGAUCACUCUCGGAAGUGUGAUUGGUGCAGUGAUCAUCGUGGCAGGCCUGUACUUCCUCAUCUGGGGCAAGAGUAAGGACGACAUCAGCCAAGUCUCCGACGUGACCGUCAAGGUCGCCGGCGAGCUGCCCUUAACCUCGGUGACCAACGGCCACGGCCACGGCAAGCAGCACGAGCUCGGCAACGGCAACGGCGGCCAUGUCGACGUCGAGACGCCCGCGACCAAUGGGCACUAUUAG
Molecule: ribosomal RNA, 1152 nt
Filed under: Triticum aestivum (bread wheat)
Lineage: Eukaryota; Viridiplantae; Streptophyta; Magnoliopsida; Poales; Poaceae
Description: partial small subunit ribosomal RNA
Source: RNAcentral